AUUGAACGCUGGCGGCAGGCCUAACACAUGCAAGUCGAACGAGUGGCGGACGGGUGAGUAAUUUCUGGGAAACUGCCUGAUGGAGGGGGAUAACUAAUGGAAACGGUAGCUCAUACCGCAUACCAUCAGAUGUGCCCAGAUGGGAGUAGCUAGUGGGUGGGGUAACGGCUCACCAAGGCGACGAUCCCUAGAUGGUCUGAGAGGAUGACCAGCCACACUGGAACUUAGACACGGUCCAGACUCCUACGUGAGGCAGCAUUGGGGAAUAUUGCACAAUGGGCGCAAGCCUGAUGCAGCCAUGCCGCGUGUAUGAAGAAGGCCUUCGGGUUGUAAAGUACUUUCAGCGGGGAGGCGUUACCCGCAGAAGAAGCACCGGCUAACUCCGUGCCAGCAGCCGCGGUAAUUC
RNAcentral lists this ribosomal RNA (406 nucleotides) under uncultured bacterium. RNAcentral's name for it is "partial 16S ribosomal RNA". It matches the Rfam family "Bacterial small subunit ribosomal RNA", at positions 30 to 526 of the family's 1533-position model. The record is from RNAcentral.